GGGGAGGGAGAGGCCAUAUGAGUGGAGGGACCUGUGGAGGAAAAAUUAUUAUUACUAUCUUGAUGUCCGCUGAACCAAAGUGGAUGGAAAUUUCUCAGGACAUAUUCAUCCAAACUACAAAAACAGGUUACUCCAUACUGAUUACAGGAUGAUUUAUCACACAUUCAUUAAAUAUAGAACAUUGACUAGCGACCAGUUUCCUCCAACAACAGAUCCAUUUGGAAAUGGCACACUGUAGAAGGCAAUCUUGUGACUUUCUUCUAGUUGUAUAUAAAAAAUACAAAUCAGUCAGGGAGUCAGGUACAAACAGUGGAACAAAAGCAUGAAUAGAUACGCCUUAUCAAAGAAUGUGCUCAUUUCAUAUUGCAGAACUUCUAUCUAGAUUCUGAUUUUUAGAAACUUACUGCUGGUUCAUUUGUUCAGAGAGGUCUCUUCACACCUCUCUUCCACUCCUACCUCCCCCUGCUAAAAUCCACUGACUGAAGAACACUUAGUAUGGAUCCACAUGGAACCAAAAGCCCCAAGUGAAUGGAGUCACAUGCAUCAGCACAGUGGCUACCGGUUUCAUCUGCUCACCCAGCCUCAUGUAUUUAGGGACUAAAUUCAAGCUAGAAGCACCCAACACUUUUGUCUUUUGGAAUCUAAUCAAAGUGCCAAUGUACAUCUAAAAGUCCCAUGUAUAGGAAUCUCUUGAUUCCUACAAAUGAGAUUCAAGGGAGAGAACAGUGAGGAAAGCCCAGAGAGCGGGCAGGAGACUGGCCACAAGCCAGGUCUACUUAAACUUUGAAAGAUGAGAUUGUUCAAAAAUGACACGAGAAAAUCACCCAUCACCACUAGGUUAAAGACUUGAAUAUGUGAGAGCUCCAGAGCCUCAAACUCCUACUACAGUCACUGAUCCAUAACAUUUUCCUCUUGCAAUAGACUCCACGCCAAAGUAGCACAGUCUUGC
Molecule: non-coding RNA, 949 nt
Filed under: Pongo abelii (Sumatran orangutan)
Lineage: Eukaryota; Metazoa; Chordata; Mammalia; Primates; Hominidae
Source: RNAcentral